UGACAACGAGGCCAGGGGGGGUAGACUGAACCCCCCCGCCUCCGAGACCCGGGGGGAAAAAACCGCAGGCUCAGCAGAUAGUCGGACAGCGCUGAGCGUCAGCCGUGCACCACGCCGGCGUCUGCCAGCACAGCCGGCGGCUUGAUCAAUGUUUCUUCGAUUGCUCGUCGUUCUUCACUAACGCCUUCCCGCCUUUGUUCCCGCGUUGUCUGUCGCGGAAAGCGCGAAGGAGAGAGCCGUAUGUACAGCCCCGGCUGGCGCGCGACCCGGUCUUUGCUGCUGCAGCUUGAUCGACUAAUGGGUCUUCGCCGGCAACGUUCCUUCGCUCGAGUCCCUGUCUGUGUUUCUCCCGGGAAGAAAACGCGCCGUUUCGAGCUAUAACACGAUGUUUUCUCGACCACCGUGCCGAAACGGAGCCGCCAGGAGAUUAGUCCCAAGGCCAUAACUAUGCGCCCCGUCGUCCGAAAUAAGAGUGACCCAGCGUGCGAAAAUCACAACUCACCAAGCGCGAGAUGUGGGCUUUGGUCCCACCUUGAACAACUGCAGGGUGAAGCCCCUUACAAUAAAGUGUUAAGUCUUCAGUCUUCUCCUUUUCGUCCCCACAUGCUCCACUUGCUGUAUUUAUGUCCUGAUA
Molecule: long non-coding RNA, 634 nt
Organism: Ixodes scapularis (black-legged tick)
Lineage: Eukaryota; Metazoa; Arthropoda; Arachnida; Ixodida; Ixodidae
Exons: 2
Source: RefSeq, a predicted model, not a curated record